GCGUCCGUAGCUCUGCGGAUUAGAGCAUCGGUUUUCGGAACCGAGGGUCGUAGGUUCGAAUCCUACCGGGCGCACCA
This 77-nucleotide transfer RNA is filed under the name bacterium. RNAcentral describes it as "tRNA-Arg". It matches the Rfam family "tRNA". From Rfam's summary of the family: Transfer RNA (tRNA) molecules are approximately 80 nucleotides in length. The record is from RNAcentral.